Pogoniulus pusillus (Red-fronted tinkerbird) is the source of this 305-nucleotide long non-coding RNA. RefSeq lists it as uncharacterized. The record is from RefSeq and is a predicted model, not a curated record. The transcript has 3 exons. Lineage: Eukaryota; Metazoa; Chordata; Aves; Piciformes; Lybiidae.
CCACCAUGUUCUCUAACUUCUAGUCCACGCGUAUUUGUCUCCUGGAGAGAGCUGAAGACAACAGAGGGCUUUAUUCCAUUCAGCCUACUGGUAGAGUGAGGAGGUAAAGCAAAGAAGCUGCAAGGCAUGAAGAGUAGGUAUUAUGAGAAUGUAAAAAUAAGAUUACUUCAACCAAAUCAAAAAUUCACCCUCAGAGAACAAGACAGAAGAGGUCAGAGGGUUUUAUUCAAACAAACUUCCACUGGAUUUAAUUUGGGCAUAUUUGAAUUAAGACUAGCUAAAAAUCUCUCCAUGCAUUGGACCUC